GGGCUCACACAAGCGGUGGAGCAUGUGGCUUAAUUCGAGGCAACGCGAAGAACCUUAUCCUGGGUUUGACAUGUAUGGAUUAACCCUGUGAAAGCAGGGCCACGCCUUCGGGUGGAACAUACACAGGUGCUGCAUGGCUGUCGUCAGCUCGUGUCGUGAGAUGUCGCGUUAAGUCGCUUAACGAGCGAAACCCUUGUCUCUAGUUGCCAGCGCGUAAUGGCGGGGACUCUAGAGAGACCGCCGGCGUUAAGCCGGAGGAAGGUGGGGAUGACGUCAAGUCCUCAUGGCCCUUAUGACUAGGGCUGCACACGUCCUACAAUGGAACGCACAAAGGGAUGCGAAACCGCGAGGUCAAGCAAAUCCCAAAAAUCGUUCCCUAGUUCGGAUUGCAGGCUGCAACUCGCCUGCAUGAAGCUGGAAUCGCUAGUAA
This 430-nucleotide ribosomal RNA is filed under the name uncultured bacterium. RNAcentral describes it as "bacterial SSU rRNA". It matches the Rfam family "Bacterial small subunit ribosomal RNA", at positions 917 to 1341 of the family's 1533-position model. The record is from RNAcentral.